ACUAUGAAAAAUCGAAGACUCCAAAAGACGUGUCCCAGCCUCCUAAUAAAAAAAUAUGUUGGUGAAGUAAGCUGUCAUAUUGUCAAAAUUGACAACGACAAUUGAGCUAAGGAACAAGGAUUAGAACCAGUUAUUAUGUGGUAUUAUUUUUGUGCUCACAAGAUAAACUUAGCCUAAGAACAAUAAAACAGUAUUUUGAAAUUGCAGGCCGAUACUGUACUAAUUUUGAUCGAGCGGCAUCCCAAAAUAUUGGGAAUCAGUUAACCCAAGAAAAAAAUCAGUAUUUGUUAUUUUUCGACUUGCUGUGUCGUGCUUGUUUUGAUAAUGAUACCAUUGGUCAUCGCUAUUAUGUUUGGAAUGUACGCUUAUGAUUAUUUGACUACGCCACAGGCUUGAAAUAAAGACAUGCUUAAGUACUUUAUAGAUAGCUAUCUGGAAAGUUAUGAAGAAUAUCCAAGUUAAUUCAUCAAAAGAGUCCUACACAUUUUUUGGAUCUGAUUUUUAUGUUGUGACUUAAGGACUACAUCGGCCUGACUGAAAUCACCGAUCUUCCUGAUGGCUUCUUAGCAUCAAGGCUGAAGACUUUUCUGAUCAUUUUACUAUGGAUUCAUAAGGUCGGCAG
Molecule: long non-coding RNA, 622 nt
Organism: Trichoplusia ni (cabbage looper)
Lineage: Eukaryota; Metazoa; Arthropoda; Insecta; Lepidoptera; Noctuidae
Exons: 3
Source: RefSeq, a predicted model, not a curated record